UCGUCUUUCAAGAAAUUUACUUCACCAUGCUUAUGUUUAUGGUAUCUUAUGGAAGGAAUAUGUUAGUUUAAAGACAAACGAGAGCAAACAAUAGUGUACGUAUUCAUGGGAAUUUUGGUUUGUUUAAGGAAAGUAAACUCAGGAAUGUGUCUUUGUAUCUACAACUUGGACUAGUUGACAUUAUCCUACUAAGAAAAAUAAUUGGACAGGGUGUCGAUGUUGGGACUAAAUUAUGAUCUAUGUGAUACACAGAAUCAACAUGGGAUGUGAUAACAUAAUAACAUGUUUGUGGGACAAAGUCUGUAAGUUUAAAGUUUGUAUGUUUAUAUAUAACUGAAAUACAGAUUUCUUCAUAGGUACACACACAUAUAAGUUACAAUAUACUCCUGAAUCAGUGUAUCAAUUAAUGACAUAUUAACUGUAAAUAUUAGUAAAUAAUCUCUUAAAAGUAAUAGUUCGGUUCGAAAAUUAACUCCGUCCAUUCACUACCAGAAGAAAGGUUUUAGCCGACGAAAAUAAAAAAACCAGGCCGACGAAUUAUUUUUUCGUCGGCUAGAGUAAUUCGUCCGCUAAAGUCCACUUUAGCCGACGAAAUUUCCAUUCGUCGGCUAAUUUAAAAUUUUCGUCGGCUAUGGUCAACUUUAGCUGACGAAAUUAAAAUUUCGUCGUCUGAAUAAUUUUUUUCGUCGGCUAUAGUCUGUGAACUUUAGCAGACGAAAUUUUUAAAAGUUUAGCCGACGAAAAAUAUAAUUUCGUCGGUUAAAGUGCCUUAUAUUUGCAGAUCUGGACAACAACUCAUCUGGGAAAAAAAAAAUUAUACGUAGAACCUUGAAACGCAAAAAAGUCGUGAAAUAAGAUAUGACCAGAAUGGUGAAAUACGUCUACGGUUGAAAAAUCACGGUAUUCCGGUAAAGUCUUGGUGCCGAUAGUUGCGGUCAAUACAAUUUACCCUUAUUAUUCACUAUGCUGCAGAUUUGGCGUUUGGUGUCCGAUUGACUAUUGUGAUACCUUUCCGGAAGCAUAACGGCCCUACGAGUCAAACUCAUGGCUUUUGCCAUGACAUAUGGGCCGUUUUGGUCAUCCGAGUCCGUUUAGGGCUUCAAAAUGCAGUUUUCUUAUUUCUGAUUAGAGUUGACCGUUUCGAUCGAGCCUUUAACGUUGUCGAAUCCAGUUGAAUUUUUUUAGCAUAGACAUCUUUCGUCAUAAUGAUCAUAUCUGACGGUCGAAUUUUGGUUUGUAAAUUUUAGUCAUCGAAAUCAUAAUGUGUCUACUAUUUACCGUUAUUAUUCCCUAUGGGGAGCCCUAUCGUCGGAAGGUAAAUGUCUCAAAAAUUUUAUAUGGGCAGUUGCGUCUCAUCUACGUGAGAGUUUUUCGUGUGGAAGGUUUGACCAAACUACGUAAUAUAGAGGGAGAUAUGAGCGUUUUCGUGUGAUAAGUGACGAUGGAUUAGGGUUGACCGUUUCGAUCGAGCCCUUAACGUUGUCGGAUCCAGUUGAAUAUUUUACCAUAGACAUCUUUCAUCGUAAUGAACAUCUCUGAUGGUCGAAUUUUAGUUUUGAAUUUUAGUCAUCGGAAUCAUAACGUGUCUACUAAUGUUGUAUAACUUAUUUAGUAGGUUAUACAACAUUGUGAACCAACUCUACAUAGGAAGCAAAAUUAUCAAAAAUCUCGUGAAAUAAGAUGUGUUCAGAAUGGUGAAAUACGGCUAUGGUUCAAAAAUCACAUAAAUCGGGUAACGUCUCUGUGCCGAUAGUAGCGGUCAACCCUAUUUACAGUUAUUAUUCCCUAUAGGGAGCCCUAUCGUCGGAAAGUAAAUGUCUCAAAAUUUUUAUAUAGGCGGUUGCGUCUCAUCUACGUGAAAGUUUUUUGUGUGGAAGGUUUGACCAAACUACAUAAUAUAGAGGGAGAUAUGAGCGUUUUCGUGAAUUUAUAGACUUUAGCCUACGAGAUAUUAAAAAAGUCGUCGGCUAAGGUCGAAAAAUUUUCAAAUUUUUUUGGCGGUAAAUCAAAUUUGGAGGAAAAUUUUCAAAUGACUUUAGCCGACGAAAAUAUAUGAAAAGUCGUCGGCUAAAGUCGAAAAAUUUUCAACCAAAAUUUUUUGGCUGUCAACCAAAAUUUUAAAAAGAGUUUAGCCGACGAAAAUAAAGAAUUUCGUCGGGUAAAGUUCUUUAUAUAGAAGUUUUACCAGAGGUGGAUAGUAAGAAGUCAGAAAAUCAGAAAAAGUUCCGGAUUUUCUUCUCGGCCAAGCUCCGCCGUCAAACAACCGGAGACCGCCACACUUGUCCCAAAAGCUUCGCCGUCGUCUCUACUUCAUUGCUGGACAGGUGGUGCAUCGAGUGGCGCCGCCGUGAGGGAUAAAUCGAGCUCCAAAACUCCGCCGGUUCGGAUUCGGUGUCGAUCGAAUUUCUCCUUCCUCAGGUCACCAUUUGGUGAGUUCUAUAUAUGGAUAAGUUGAGUUUGAUUAGUACUACAUUCCCCUAGAAUUUGGUAGCUCGAUUCGGUGUGUGUGAGGAGAAUCGAAGAUUUGAAGUUUUUUAGGGUUUAAAAAUUGGGGAUUUUUUAUAUUUUUGAUUCAAUUGACCUGUUUAGGCUUAGAAAUUGGGCUUCGACUUCUUCUAGAAAGUUGUUCGAAAAUGUUGAGAGGAAAUUCUAUCAAAUUUUGGUGGUGAUUGGAGGUGGCCGAAAGUUUAUGCAGUUUUUUUUUUUUCUAAAAACCAAGCAACUUUAACCGACGAUAUUUAAAGGUUUAUUCGUCGGCUAUAGUAUUUUUAAAUUUUUUUUAUAAGGUUUAGCCGACAAAUUAUGGCAUAUUUCGUCGGCUAUAGUUAUUUUUAAAUUUUUUUAUAAGGUUUAGCCGACGAAACAGACUAUAUUUCGUCGGCUAUAGUUAUUUUUUAAAUUUUUUAUAAGGUUUAGCCGACGAAAAAGUCUAUAUUUCGUCGGCUAUAGUUAUUUUUUAAAUUUUUUAUUAAGGUUUAGCCGACGAAAUGCCGACGAAAUAGACUAUAUUUCGUCGGCUAUAGUCUGCGAAAAAUUUUUUAUUACAGACUUUAGCCGACGAAUAUCUUAAUUGUUUCGUCGGCUAAAGUCUGGGAAAAAAACCGACGACAUGUUUUUCGUCGGUUAAACUGUGGGACUAUAGCCGACGAAAUUUUUUUUUCGUCGGUUAAAGUCAUCGCCGACGACCUUUUCCUGACGAAAUCUUAGCCGACGAUAGCUUGUCGGCUAAGAUCUUAGCCGACGAAUUAAGCUAACAGGCCGACGAAACUUUUUCGUCGGCUAAAGUGCUUGUCCUAGUAGUGAUUGAUAACCAUUACAGGUGGUCGAGUUAGUAAGUUUCGUCGGCUAAAGUGCUUGUCCUAGUAGUGAUUGAUAACCAUUACAGGUGGUCGAGUUAGUAAGAGUCUUGAUGUGGAUCCUCCUAUACCCAUAUUCGAAUCCCACUGACGUUAAUUGAAGUUAAAUAUUGAUUUAUUUUUUAUGGACAUAGGGGAAUAAGCAUUCUGACAUAACAUUUCGACGCAGAUUAGUCUCUGGUGAGUCUAUUAAGCCUUUGUGAAUACCGUUAUUGAUACUAUAAAAGAAAAAAAAAUACCAUCCAUUGAUUAAUCAUAAAGAUCAUCUUGGCAAACGAUUAAUCAUAGAUCGUAAGUCUAUUUCUACUUGAUUUAUCGAUACAUUUCCUACUAUCGGUAAACUAACUCGAAGUUCGGUCUUUGAGCCCUAUCCCGUCGAUCAAUGCAUGAAGCAACUCAAGCAAGUCUACUGAUGUAAAAAAAAACGACCUAAUUGAUCUCUAUAGAUUUUGAUGUGUUAACGGAUCUAUG
Molecule: long non-coding RNA, 3827 nt
Filed under: Fragaria vesca (wild strawberry)
Lineage: Eukaryota; Viridiplantae; Streptophyta; Magnoliopsida; Rosales; Rosaceae
Description: long non-coding RNA (FVES_LNC005608)
Source: RNAcentral